GCUAGUUCGUUCGUCGUAGCGUAGUGACGGCGGCAUCAAUUUCUGAAUUAAUUACCAUUUGUCGCAAAAACUGCGCGUCCUUUACCUUUUCUAAACUUGGAAAUCUUCAAUUUGUGUUUCGGUUGUGAUAAAUUGUAUUCUAAAUGGCAUCAGAUGAUGAAGUAGAUGGAUCUUUUGCAGGCGACGAGGACGUAGAGGAAGGCGAGGGUCACAAUGAUAACUCCGGCGACAGUGAUGAAGCUCCACCCAAGGAGGAUGACGACUAUUCUCCCGAAGAUGGCAGAAAGAAAAAGAAGGGUAAAAAAAGAAAAGCCAGAGGUGAAGAGAAAAAAGGCAGAAAGAAAAAGAAGAAGCGAAAGAAUGAUAGUGAAGAAGAAGAUGAAUUCGGCCUGGCGGAGGUGGAGGCUGAAGGCGACAGUGACUACGCGCUGAGCGCUGUGUCGUCCAGCAAGAAGUCCCGCAAAGGGCGCGGCAGCAAGCACAACACUUCCACUUCUGUACCUUCUGAUUCAGGAUUUGGUAUGCCCACAGUGGAAGAAGUGUGCACCUCCUUUGGUCUGACGGAUGUUGACAUUCAGUACUCUGAUGCUGACCUGGAGAACUUGACCAGCUACAAGUUGUUCCAACAGCAUGUGCGCCCGCUGAUUGUAAAAGAAAAUCCCAAGGUGCCAGUGUCCAAACUGAUGAUGUUAGUGGCAGCGAAGUGGCGCCUCUUCUGCGAGACGAACCCUCACCUGGACGGCGGCACACAGAACUUGGGCUCGGAGGAGAACACCAACACAUCCACGGCUUCCGACUAUGCGCCAAAGCGUACUGGACGCACUCCUAAAGAAUCGAAGAUUGAAGACUCGAUCGACGAGCCAGAAGAGGAGGAAGACGACGGCAUCAGCGACGAGGGCACGCCGGCGCCCCGCAAGCGCGGCCGCAAGCCAAAGCACGCGGGCGGCACGCCGCGCGGCAAGCCGGGCCGCAAGCCCAAGGUGCCCACGCUCAAGAUCAAGUUCAGCAAGCGCAAACGCACCAGCAGUGAGGAGGAACAAGAAGGUAGCGCAGGAGCCAACUCAGAUUCAGAUGCAGAGUUUGAGCAAAUGCUGGCUGAGGCGGAUGAGCCCAAAGCUGUCUCCAGCAACGCAGAAGAGGCUGGCCAGUCUAAGGACGAUGAUCCUAACACAUCGCAGCAGCAGCCGAAAAAGAAGGCUAAAACCAAAAUUGGUAACAAGACCAAAAAGAAGAAGAAGAUGAAGACCACAAACAAAUUCCCGGACGGCGCAGAAGGAGAACACGAACAUCAGGAUUACUGUGAAGUAUGUCAACAAGGAGGUGAAAUAAUACUCUGUGACACAUGUCCUCGGGCGUACCACUUGGUAUGUUUGGAGCCAGAGUUGGAAGAGACUCCCGAGGGGCGCUGGUCGUGUCCGCACUGCGAGGCUGAAGGCAACCAGGACCAGGAUGAUGAUGAUGAACACCAAGAGUUCUGCAGGAUUUGCAAAGAUGGAGGUGAAUUGCUUUGCUGUGAUUCGUGUCCCUCUGCCUACCACCGAUUCUGUCUCAACCCACCACUAGAAGAAGUGCCGGAUGGAGAGUGGAGAUGCCCUCGAUGUAGCUGUCCACCUCUCGAGGGUAAAGUGGCAAAGAUCUUAACAUGGCGAUGGAAAGAGCACUCUUCCAAGUCGAAAGCGCCGCGUUCCAGAGAGUUCUUUGUCAAAUGGCUCGAGCGAUCAUACUGGCACUGCAGUUGGAUCUCAGAAAUACAGCUGGAUGUGUUCCACCCGCUGAUGUACCGCUACUACAUGCGCAAGUGUGACCCAGAGGAACCGCCCAAACUUGACGAGCUUCUUGAAGAGCGCGAAGGGCUCAAACGGCUCAAAGUCAAGCAAAGCCGGGAACAACAGGACUCCGAUGAAAAGAUGCUCGAGGAGAAAUAUUACAGAUACGGCGUAAAACCAGAGUGGCUAAUAGUCCACAGGGUGAUAAACCAUCGCACGUCUCGCGAUGGCACUACUUAUUAUUUAGUGAAAUGGCGGGACUUGUCCUAUGAUCAGGCCACGUGGGAGUCUGAGAAUGCAGACAUUGCCGGCCUCAAAUACGCCAUUGAGUAUUAUCAGGACAUGCGCGCACACAUCACUUCUGAAGGUAAAUCGAAAGGCAGCAAAGGUAAGAAGCCUGGCCGCAAGAGCAGGAAUAAAGACAAUGUCGAUGACGACGAAAACAAUAGUGGCUUGUUAAGAAAAUAUAAUGCACCGCCAGAUCGCCCCAUCACCAACCUCAACAAGAAGUAUGAAGAUCAACCCGCAUUUGUCUACGAAACUGGAAUGCAGCUGCAUCCGUAUCAAUUAGAAGGUCUGAACUGGUUGCGGUAUUCGUGGGGUAACGGAAUCGACACAAUCCUUGCCGAUGAAAUGGGUCUGGGUAAAACUAUUCAAACUGUAACAUUCCUGUAUUCCCUGUUCAAGGAAGGUCAUUGUAAAGGGCCAUUCUUAGUGUCCGUGCCUCUGUCGACGAUCAUCAAUUGGGAGAGAGAAUUCGAGCUCUGGGCUCCAGAUUUAUACUGCAUCACUUAUGUGGGUGACAAAGAUUCUAGAGCUGUGAUACGGGAAAAUGAGCUCACAUUCGACGAUGGUGCAAAUAGAGGUGGAAGGCCUUCGAAGAUUAAAUCUCAAGUCAAGUUCAAUGUUCUCCUGACAUCAUAUGAACUUAUCUCCAUCGACUCGACAUGCCUCGGUUCCAUUGACUGGGCGGUGCUCGUAGUCGAUGAAGCUCACAGAUUAAAAAGUAACCAGUCAAAGUUCUUUAGGCUUCUAGCCGGGUAUCACAUAAACUAUAAAUUAUUACUCACUGGAACUCCUUUACAAAAUAACCUUGAGGAAUUGUUCCAUCUUUUAAAUUUCUUGAACAAAGAUAAGUUCUGUGAUCUUGCUGCGUUCCAAAACGAAUUUGCAGACGUAUCUAAGGAAGAGCAAGUGAAAAGAUUACACGAAAUGUUGGGGCCGCAUAUGCUGCGGCGUCUCAAGGCUGAUGUAUUGAAAAACAUGCCCACAAAAUCUGAAUUUAUUGUACGUGUCGAAUUAUCGCCAAUGCAGAAGAAAUAUUACAAGUAUAUUUUGACAAGAAAUUUCGAGGCAUUGAAUCCAAAGAGCGGCGGCCAGACCGUAUCUUUACUCAACGUGAUGAUGGACUUAAAGAAAUGUUGCAAUCAUCCUUAUUUGUUCCCCGUGGCAGCUGAGGAGGCACCGCUCGGCCCUCAUGGAAACUAUGAUACACAGGCGUUGGUUAAAGCGUCAGGAAAGCUUGUGCUCAUGUCGAAGAUGUUGAGGCAGUUGAAAGAGCAAGGGCAUAGAGUUCUCAUCUUCUCUCAAAUGACAAAGAUGUUGGACAUUCUCGAAGAUUUCCUGGAGGGCGAGGGGUACAAAUAUGAAAGAAUCGAUGGUGGCAUUACCGGUACGAUACGACAGGAGGCUAUUGAUAGGUUUAAUGCUCCUGGGGCUCAACAAUUCGUUUUCCUUCUAUCGACAAGGGCCGGCGGUUUGGGUAUCAAUUUGGCGACCGCUGAUACUGUUAUUAUUUAUGAUUCCGAUUGGAAUCCACAUAACGACAUUCAGGCGUUUUCGCGAGCUCAUCGUAUCGGUCAAGCGAACAAAGUCAUGAUCUAUCGAUUCGUAACACGCAACAGUGUCGAGGAGCGAGUCACGCAAGUAGCUAAAAGGAAAAUGAUGUUGACUCAUUUGGUCGUGCGUCCGGGUAUGGGCGGAAAAGGGGCUAACUUUACUAAGCAAGAGCUGGAUGAUAUUCUAAGAUUUGGUACAGAAGAGUUAUUUAAAGAAGAAGAGGGCAAAGAGGAAGCCAUUCAUUACGACGACAAAGCUGUUGGAGACUUACUCGAUCGUUCGAAGGAAGGUAUUGAACAAAAGGAAUCUUGGGCCAACGAGUACCUCAGCUCUUUCAAAGUCGCCAAUUAUUCUACCAAAGAAGGAGAUAAUGAGGAAGAAGUCGAUACUGAAAUUAUUAAACAAGAAGCUGAAAAUACUGACCCGGCUUACUGGAUCAAACUGCUUAGACACCAUUAUGAACAGCAUCAAGAAGAUCAGGCCCGAACUCUCGGCAAAGGCAAAAGAGUUCGUAAACAAGUCAACUAUAAUGACGGUAGUGUUGCUCAAACUGAAAAUAGAGAAGAUUCUACUUGGCAAGAAAAUGGAUCAGAUUACAACUCAGAUUUCUCUCAUGGCAGUGAAGAUGAUAAGGAAGAUGACGAUUUCGAUGAAAAGAAUGACAAUGGAGAUCUCCUCAGUCGCCGUAGCAAGAGACGUCUUGAAAGACGAGAAGAAAGAGAUAGACCUCUACCACCUUUACUCGCCAGGGUGGGUGGAAAUAUUGAGGUUCUCGGUUUUAAUGCUCGACAGAGGAAAUCAUUCCUUAACGCAAUCAUGCGUUAUGGUAUGCCGCCACAGGACGCGUUUAAUUCACAAUGGCUAGUGAGAGAUCUCAGAGGAAAAUCAGAACGUAAUUUUAAGGCUUACGUGUCACUGUUUAUGCGACAUUUGUGUGAGCCUGGUGCGGAUAAUGCCGAGACGUUUGCUGACGGCGUCCCACGAGAAGGUUUAUCGAGACAACACGUGUUGACGAGGAUCGGUGUUAUGAGUCUCAUAAGGAAGAAGGUGCAAGAAUUUGAACACAUCAAUGGAUACUACAGUAUGCCUGAGUUGAUUCGAAAACCAGUUGAACCCGUGAAGAUCGCAGGCGGUGAAAGCGCUGCGCCGAGCCCGGCUCCUUCAUCAGCCACGCCCAUAACAUCGGCGGCGCCGUCCCCCGCGCCCACACAAACUACACCUGCCUCUGGUCAGGCACCUACCCCUGGAGGUUCAGAAAAAGAUGAAAAAGAAGACGCGAAAGACGACAAACCGGAAUCCAAAGAUAGCAAAGAUAAGGAAGAACCGAUGGACACGAGUGCCGUUAAAGAGGAAAAGGAGAAACCGGACGACAAAGAACCAGUAAAAGAUGUUAGUGUUAAAGAAGAAGUAAAAGAAGAGAGACGAAUGUCGGUAGAUGAGGAGCCAUCUAAAGACGAGGAUAAAUUAGAUGAAAACAAGACCGAGGAUAAAGAAGCUAAAAUCAAAGAGGAGAAAGAGGAGUUGGAUAAAAAGGAGGACGCUAAGAGUGACAAGACGGAAUCGGAGGGGUCUGACAAGCCCAAAGAUGAGAAAAAAGACGAAGACGAUGAUGACGUCGUACUUGUCAAGGAGGAGGAAGAUUUGAAGGUGGAACGCCGCAAGUUCAUGUUUAACAUCGCGGAUGGAGGUUUCACGGAGUUGCACACUCUGUGGUUGAACGAGGAGAGAGCGGCCGCGCCCGGCAGGGAGUACGAGAUCUGGCACAGGCGGCACGACUACUGGCUGCUGGCUGGCAUCGUGACGCACGGCUACGGACGCUGGCAGGACAUACAGAACGACCUGCGGUUCGCGAUCAUCAACGAGCCCUUCAAGAUGGACGUCGGCAAGGGCAACUUCCUGGAGAUCAAGAACAAGUUCUUAGCGCGGAGAUUUAAGUUGCUGGAACAAGCGCUAGUGAUCGAGGAGCAGCUCCGGCGCGCGGCGUACCUGAACCUCACGCAGGACCCCAACCACCCCGCCAUGUCGCUCAACGCGCGCUUCGCCGAGGUGGAGUGUCUGGCCGAGUCGCACCAGCACCUCAGCAAGGAGUCGCUGGCCGGCAACAAGCCCGCCAACGCUGUGCUGCACAAGGUGAGUGAUGACCCCGCCAUAUCGCUCAACGUGCGCUUCGCCGAGGUGGAGUGUCUGGCCGAGUCGCACCACCUCCACCUCAGCAAGGAGUCGCUGGCCGGCAACAAGCCCGCCAACGCUGUGCUGCACAAGGUGAGUGCUGACCCCGCCAUGUCGCUCAACGCGCGCUUUGCCGAGGUGGAGUGUCUGGCCGAGUCGCACCAGCACCUCAGCAAGGAGUCGCUGGCCGGCAACAAGCCCGCCAACGCUGUGCUGCAUAAGGUGAGUGAUGACCCCGCCAUGUCGCUCAACGCGCGCUUCGCCGAGGUGGAGUGUCUGGCCGAGUCGCACCAGCACCUCAGCAAGGAGUCGCUGGCCGGCAACAAGCCCGCCAACGCUGUGCUGCAUAAGGUGAGUGAUGACCCCGCCAUGUCGCUCAACGCGCGCUUCGCCGAGGUGGAGUGUCUGGCCGAGUCGCACCAGCACCUCAGCAAGGAGUCGCUGGCCGGCAACAAGCCCGCCAACGCGGUGCUGCACAAGGUGAGUGAUGACCCCGCCAUAUCGCUCAACGUGCGCUUCGCCGAGGUGGAGUGUCUGGCCGAGUCGCACCAGCACCUCAGCAAGGAGUCGCUGGCCGGCAACAAGCCCGCCAACGCUGUGCUGCACAAGGUGAGUGAUGACCCCGCCAUGUCGCUCAACGCGCUUCGCCGAGGUGGAGUGUCUGGCCGAGUCGCACCAGCACCUCAGCAAGGAGUCGCUGGCCGGCAACAAGCCCGCCAACGCUGUGCUGCACAAGGUGCUGAACCAGCUGGAGGAGCUGCUGUCGGACAUGAAGUCGGACGUGUCGCGGCUGCCGGCCACGCUGGCGCGCAUCCCGCCCGUGGCGCAGCGCCUGCAGAUGUCGGAGCGGUCCAUCCUGUCGCGCCUCGCCGCCACCGCCGGCAACCCCGUGCCCGCAGCUCAAAUGGCCACGUUCCCCGCCGGGUUCGGUCCGGGCGGCGCUCUGCCGGGCUUCUCUCCGGCCGCCGCCGCCGCCGCCAACUUCACCAACUUCCGCCCGCAGUACUCCGUGCCCGGACAGCCCACCACGCCCAACUCUAACAAAUCGUAAGCCCAUGGAACUUAUUUUUAGCGGAGUUGAAAGCAUGCUGGUAAAUUAAUAUAAUCCUCAUUCCAUUUUUUGACCAGUGAGCAAAUUCAGCAUUGCGCUUAGACGAAUAUUUUAACAUUUUAUAUGCUUCUCAAGAUUCCUGUUCCACCUUGGGUUUGAAGUGAUACAUAGUGAUUAGUGCAGUUAUUUUAGGUAACAUAAUAUUACGUCAUACUAGAGCAGAACUCUCACAAUAUUAUUUAUUUCGUAAUGAUCUGUAUGAAUAAUGUUUUGAUGUCGUAAGUGAUUGUGGACAUGUGAAAUCUUUAUUUUUAAUUUACCAAAAAUGAAAUAAAUCAUACAAUUACGUAAACAAA
This is an RNA transcript of Bicyclus anynana (squinting bush brown), 7181 nucleotides long. It is a transcript of the gene named chromodomain-helicase-DNA-binding protein Mi-2 homolog, with no coding region annotated. The record is from RefSeq and is a predicted model, not a curated record. The transcript has 20 exons. NCBI's taxonomy places the organism in Eukaryota, Metazoa, Arthropoda, Insecta, Lepidoptera, Nymphalidae.